UACGGGGGGGGCAAGCGUUGUUCGGAAUUACUGGGCGUAAAGGGCUCGUAGGCGGCCAACUAAGUCAGACGUGAAAUCCCUCGGCUUAACCGGGGAACUGCAUCUGAUACUGGAUGGCUUGAGUUCGGGAGAGGGAUGCGGAAUUCCAGGUGUAGCGGUGAAAUGCGUAGAUAUCUGGAGGAACACCGGUGGCGAAGGCGGCCUUCUGGACAGUUCCUGACACUGAGGCACGAAGGCCAGGGGAGCAAACGGG
This 253-nucleotide ribosomal RNA is filed under the name uncultured bacterium. RNAcentral's name for it is "partial 16S ribosomal RNA". It matches the Rfam family "Bacterial small subunit ribosomal RNA", at positions 524 to 776 of the family's 1533-position model. The record is from RNAcentral.